Molecule: unclassified non-coding RNA, 524 nt
Filed under: Lodderomyces elongisporus
Lineage: Eukaryota; Fungi; Ascomycota; Pichiomycetes; Serinales; Debaryomycetaceae
Description: sequence contains 18S rRNA gene, ITS1, 5.8S rRNA gene, ITS2, 28S rRNA gene
Rfam family: 5.8S ribosomal RNA (bases 183-336)
Source: RNAcentral
GAUCAUUACAGAAUUUUGAGAAUUGUGCUUAACUGCACUUUUCUUAUCUACACACGUGUUUUUGUUUUAUUCUUAAAACUUGCUUUGGCAGUGGCUGCUUAAUUGCUCUGCUGCCAGAGGAUAAACUCAACCUAAAUUUUUUAUUUUAAACUAGUCAACUGAUUAUAUUUAUUAAUAGUCAAAACUUUCAACAACGGAUCUCUUGGUUCUCGCAUCGAUGAAGAACGCAGCGAAAUGCGAUAAGUAAUAUGAAUUGCAGAUAUUCGUGAAUCAUCGAAUCUUUGAACGCACAUUGCGCCCUCUGGUAUUCCGGAGGGCAUGCCUGUUUGAGCGUCAUUUCUCCCUCAAACCCCCGGGUUUGGUGAUGAGCAAUACGCCAGGUUUGCUUGAAAGUUAGGAGGAGUAUUUAUAACAAUGUAUUAGGUCUAACCACUCCAUUGUGCUUAAUAAAAGCUCCAAUCUAUAUUUCAAACUUCGACCUCAAAUCAGGUAGGAUUACCCGCUGAACUUAAGCAUAUCAAUAA